Astyanax mexicanus (Mexican tetra) is the source of this 1192-nucleotide long non-coding RNA. RefSeq lists it as uncharacterized. NCBI's taxonomy places the organism in Eukaryota, Metazoa, Chordata, Actinopteri, Characiformes, Acestrorhamphidae. The transcript is spliced from 5 exons. The record is from RefSeq and is a predicted model, not a curated record.
GUGUUAAAAUUCUUUAUUGCGAUCAUUUUAAUGUUAAUCGUGUGUCUGAAUUUACAUUGUCGUCCAAGCCUAUUUUUGGUGAAACAGUUAGUAUUUUGAGUGCCUUGACUGAACUGUUUUGGUUUUUCUAAGAUGAACGAGAACAUUCCUGAGUAUUCAGAUGAACUUUUUGACAGUGAGAGCAGUGUGGAAGACAACGGUACACAUUCUACUAAGGUCAGAAAAUUGGAGCACACUUGGAAAACACUAAGAAAACGACCAAGUUGCCAUAGCAAGUUACAGUGGACAGCGACUCGGAAGAACCUGAAAGCUGUAUGACAGAGUGUGAUGACCUUAUGCCAUUACCACAAGACCAUGCAGAGCAAGCUGCCGAGGAGAGAGACGAAGUGCAGAGGUCAAAAAAAAAUGUGAGGGGCGGUGAUGCACCUUCUUCCUUACCACAAGAAAAUGCAGGGCAAAAUGACGGUGAGACAGAUCAAUUGCCGAGGUCCAGUAAAAGAAAGAAAGGUCCCUUCAAGAGAACACCCUGGACCAAUAAUGAAAUCUGUGCUGUGGAGAAACAUAUGAUGACGUUUAUCCAAAGGUGGAAGGUACCAGGAAAAGCUGAAUGUGAUCACUGCAUAGCAGCUGAACCAUUGGCACUUCAAAACAGAGACUGGUUGGCUGUUAAAUUCUAUAUAAAAAAUCGCAUCACAGCAUUACAAAAGGUUUAAGGCUUAGUUGGCAAAGGCCAGGUCUUAAGGGUCUUUUUUGUUUUUUGUUUUGUUGGCUUCUUUGUUAAUUAUUUGUUUAUAUAAUGUUUUUGAUUGGAUGCACAGUAACUGUGUAGAACCAGAUUGUUCUUGAAUGGUUAGAAAAAUUUCAUCUUCUGUUGGCAAAGUUGCCAUUUUGUGUUCAGUUAUUCGUGGCAGGCCCCCAGCAGUUAUCCCAUAUUCCUUCUUUUUUGUCCUGUAGAGCCCCAUUUAUUUCCGGCCACACCCAAACCACUCAUACUCAAUACUGACCCACACUGCUCCAUUCAUUCCUAAUGUCUCCCAUAGCUCUUGUUCUCUUCAAGAAAUGCACUUUUGGUGUAUCUUAUUCACCUUUGCUUAUGUGUAUUGCAAAAUGCAUACUAGCAUAUAUUUUCGAUUGCUAUAUAUAUGCUAAAUGUUCUGAAGAUUUCCAAGACAAUAAACAAGUAUUUAUUGUA